UACGAAGGGGGCUAGCGUUGUUCGGCAUCACUGGGCGUAAAGCGCACGUAGGCGGAUCGUUAAGUCGGGGGUGAAAUCCCGAGGCUCAACCUCGGAACUGCCUUCGAUACUGGCGAUCUUCGAGUCCGGGAGAGGUGAGUGGAACUCCGAGUGUAGAGGUGAAAUUCGUAGAUAUUCGGAAGAACACCAGUGGCGAAGGCGGCUCACUGGCCCGGUACUGACGCUGAGGUGCGAAAGCGUGGGGAGCAAACAGG
Molecule: ribosomal RNA, 254 nt
Filed under: uncultured bacterium
Lineage: Bacteria
Description: partial 16S ribosomal RNA
Rfam family: Bacterial small subunit ribosomal RNA
Source: RNAcentral